CCCUUAGACGCUCUAGGCGGCACGCGCGCUACAAUGGGUGGUAGAACGUGUUACUGCUUCCGAAAGGGAGAGUGAACCACGAAUACCUACCCGUGAAUGGGAUAGUUUGUUGCAAUUUUCGGACUUGAACUAGGAAUCCCUUGUAAGUAUGCUCAAGAAUAGCGUGCUGAAUACGUCCCUGCCGUUUGUACACACCGCCCGUCGUUUCUUCCGACUGAUACUCAUCGUGAGUUGCAAGGAUCCUCAUGGGAAAAUUGCUGCGAAUGCUUUGUAUUGGAGGAAGAAAAAGUCGUAACA
This 297-nucleotide ribosomal RNA is filed under the name uncultured eukaryote. RNAcentral's name for it is "partial 18S ribosomal RNA". It matches the Rfam family "Eukaryotic small subunit ribosomal RNA", at positions 1470 to 1796 of the family's 1831-position model. The record is from RNAcentral.